Molecule: ribosomal RNA, 505 nt
Filed under: uncultured bacterium
Lineage: Bacteria
Description: bacterial SSU rRNA
Rfam family: Bacterial small subunit ribosomal RNA
Source: RNAcentral
CUCAGGAUGAACGCCAGCUACAGGCUUAACACAUGCAAGUCGAGGGGCAGCAUGAAGUUUGCUUGCAAACUUGAUGGCGACCGGCGCACGGGUGAGUAACGCGUAUCCAACCUUCCCCUUAGUAGGGCAUAGCCCGGCGAAAGUCGGAUUAAUACCCGUAUGUUAUCCGAAGAUGGCAUCUGACUUGGAUUAAAGAUUUAUCGCUAAGGGAUGGGGAUGCGUCUGAUUAGGUAGUAGGCGGGGUAACGGCCCACCUAGCCUGCGAUCAGUAGGGUUCUGAGAGGAAGGUCCCCCACAUUGGAACUGAGACACGGUCCAAACUCCUACGGGAGGCAGCAGUGAGGAAUAUUGGUCAAUGGGCGCGAGCCUGAACCAGCCAAGUAGCGUGCAGGAUGACGGCCCUAUGGGUUGUAAACUGCUUUUAUCAGGGGAUAAAGUGAGGGACGUGUCCCUUUUUGUAGGUACCUGAUGAAUAAGGACCGGCUAAUUCCGUGCCAGCAGCCGC